RNAcentral lists this ribosomal RNA (464 nucleotides) under uncultured bacterium. RNAcentral's name for it is "partial 16S ribosomal RNA". It matches the Rfam family "Bacterial small subunit ribosomal RNA", at positions 338 to 795 of the family's 1533-position model. The record is from RNAcentral.
CCUACGGGUGGCUGCAGUGGGGAAUAUUGCGCAAUGGGCGAAAGCCUGACGCAGCGACGCCGCGUGAGGGAUGAAGGUCUUCGGAUCGUAAACCUCUGUCAGCAGGGAAGAACGGUCACUGUGCUAAUCAGCAGUGAAUUGACGGUACCUGCAAAGGAAGCAUCGGCUAACUCCGUGCCAGCAGCCGCGGUAAUACGGAGGAUGCGAGCGUUAUCCGGAUUUAUUGGGUUUAAAGGGUGCGUAGGCGGUAUUUUAAGUUAGUGGUAAAACGUCGGGGCUUCACCUUGAUUGGCCAUUAAAACUGGAGUACUAGAGUACAGACGAGGUAGGCGGAAUAAGGUAAGUAGCGGUGAAAUGCUUAGAUAUAACUUAGAACCCCGAUAGCGAAGGCAGCUUACCAGACUGUUACUGACGCUGAAGCACGAGAGCGUGGGUAGCGAACAGGAUUAGAUACCCGUGUAGUC